Molecule: non-coding RNA, 1029 nt
Organism: Odocoileus virginianus texanus
Lineage: Eukaryota; Metazoa; Chordata; Mammalia; Artiodactyla; Cervidae
Source: RefSeq, a predicted model, not a curated record
GGGGUCGAUUCCAUUGACUUUAUAGAAGAGUCCUCUGAACAGAGAGCUCCAAGGAGUAUUGAAGGCCUCACAACUCAUCAGCAGCAGUGUCAGCAUCUAAAUCUAAAUACCUGUGACACUUAGAUAAAACCGCAGUCCACUCCUGCCUGCGUACCUUCCAGAGCAUUGACAGCACUGUGGUUCCUGCUGCCCAUGGUCCCUGGCUUUUUAUGCUGUGUACCUAGGAAAGAUUCUUCCCUAGAACAGGACUUGGAAAUCCAGCGCAGGUAUCAGAACAGGUGAUGGCUUACGAUGGAGCGUGUGAACCCCAAGGGCUGCAGUUUUCACGCCAUCUGCCCCAGAGCACAUCUGCUUCCAGAAAGCCUGAGGUUCUCAGGGUAGUGUAUGGUCAGUCUGGAGGUAAAAAUCAAAUACACGUGUGAAUCUAUCGUGAGAAGAAUGCACAUUUGUAAUAAAGGCAAGUUUUAUGUGACCUGAGAAGAAAAGGACCAUGAAAUGAUAGAAUAUUUAUUUAGAAUUUUAACAGCCAUGUACUAUCUGAAGCAGAUGCCUAGGAGGAAGGCAACAGCCUCAGACCAAUGCUCUGGCAAACACUGAGAAGGCAGUAUUUUAUUGUUGCAGGCCUUUAUUUAUCCACCAGCAGAUGUCCCUAUAAGGCAGUAAUAUCUUACAGUGAGAACAGCUGAUUAUGAGAAUCAGAAACUGAACCACUCAUCAUAUUUCCAAAGAUUAAUGGGAUUAAAUCCACCAUGUACUUCAAAAUCUUUCUAGCAAUAGAUAAAAGUACAGAAUAGUACAAAAGUAAAUUUAGUGUACUUCUGAAAACCACAUGGAACAAAGUUCCUUCUUAAAAAAAAAAAUUUAGGAAUCCUUCAUGACCUUAAUUAGCAUUAAGACCUCUUUCUAAAAUAAAACACCAUUUUUUAUUAUAUCUGUGUUAUCAGUUAUACUUUAAUAUUCAUUGAGUGAGGAAAAUACCCAAGGUCCAAAAACUAUUCUGAAUUCAGUAAAAUGUAUUUUGUGUUUAAA